Molecule: ribosomal RNA, 451 nt
Filed under: uncultured bacterium
Lineage: Bacteria
Description: partial 16S ribosomal RNA
Rfam family: Bacterial small subunit ribosomal RNA
Source: RNAcentral
GUGGGGAAUAUUGGACAAUGGGGGGAACCCUGAUCCAGCCAUGCCGCGUGUGUGAAGAAGGCCUUUUGGUUGUAAAGCACUUUAAGUGGGGAGGAGGCUUACCUGGUUAAUACCUGGGCUAAGUGGACGUUACCCACAGAAUAAGCACCGGCUAACUCUGUGCCAGCAGCCGCGGUAAUACAGAGGGUGCGAGCGUUAAUCGGAUUUACUGGGCGUAAAGCGCGCGUAGGUGGUUAAUUAAGUCAAAUGUGAAAUCCCCGAGCUUAACUUGGGAAUUGCAUUCGAUACUGGUUGGCUAGAGUAUGGGAGAGGAUGGUAGAAUUCCAGGUGUAGCGGUGAAAUGCGUAGAGAUCUGGAGGAAUACCGAUGGCGAAGGCAGCCAUCUGGCCUAAUACUGACACUGAGGUGCGAAAGCAUGGGGAGCAAACAGGAUUAGAUACCCUGGUAGUCC